RNA transcript from Megalopta genalis, 1547 nucleotides. RefSeq lists it as uncharacterized. The record is from RefSeq and is a predicted model, not a curated record. Lineage: Eukaryota; Metazoa; Arthropoda; Insecta; Hymenoptera; Halictidae.
CACGUGGUUUUCGGGUUAAAGUCAGUUCGUAAAUCGAAGAGGCGUAAUCAUCAGUCGAAAAUGAGUCGAUACGUUUUGCUGUUACUGUUGCUGGCUGCGUAUGCCGAAAGUGCCGCUGUCCCUAUAAUGAGACAGUGCCUUGGCGAGCAUGAAGUCUGGAUGCCAUGCGGAGAUUGGUGCAAUCCUGGAUGCUAUUUGAGUCCGAAAUUACAAUGCAAAGUGGUAUGCUACCCGGAGUUAGAUCACGGAAGCUGCGGCUGCGUGCACGGAUACAGAAGAGACGCCGAUGGCAGAUGCAUCAAGUGUUAACUGAGACAAGCUGCGAAGCGUACGAAAAGCGAGAAGAGAGAGAGAGAGAGAGAGAGAGCAAUGUACUUCUAAUCAGAAAAUGUUCGCACGGUAAACUGACGCUUAUAAAUGAGAGGAAGAAAUCAAAAAUGGAAGGAAAGUGAGGGAGAUUAAAAAAAACAUUCGUACCGUAUAUCGUCCGUGGAAUUCGUUUCGGUGGAGAGGUACGUAAAACGACGGAAGGGAAAGUGCGAAAAAUUGGUGACCGCGCUUCUGAUAAUUGAAUGGCUGCGCCGUUCUAUGGAUUUAUCUCUGCUACCAGAAUUUUCCAGUGCGCCCUGGAAUAGUUAAACCUUGACCUUUUAUAUCGGACCCGAUCUUCCCGAGCUUCUCCCGAGUUUCUAUCGAAGAUGCAAUUAAUAAGCGCCAAACCUAAUAGCGGGCUCAAUCGUACUUAGCGCUCCCUAUAUUUAUCCCGUUGCUACUGAUUUAAUUGCUGUUUCGAGGACAGCUUCGCACAAUACUUCUGAGGCCGUGCAAUUAAAAUACAAGACCCGUCGACUUCGAAUCCGAAUUACAGACUUUUCAUCGAUUUUAAUUUCGGAGUACAAUACGCGUUUCAGCGAAAUUUGGUAAAUGUUAACACCUUACCUGUCGCAGAUUUUUCAUCAUUCAGUGUCAGCCGAGAUGACACUUUUUAAGAAUUUCUUAAAAAAUCAUGGUUUGUUUUUCAUACCGUAAGAUAAUUAUGUAAGAUGCAUAAAUGAAAAAAGAGAAAAUCAUUUUUCCUAUAAGAUUUUACAGCAUACAGUAUAAUGAUUUUUAUUUCCAUUUAACUUUCUACAGCAGAACUGUAAUUUUUGUGAAUGACUCCGUUAAAUUAUUUAGAUUAAUAUGACGUAAGAAGUUCUUUUGAAGUUAUUAUAUAAAAAUUAUCGAGCUUAGACACAGUUCAGUCAUUGAAAAGAUUGUCAAAUAGGUUCCCGGUAAAUAAAGUGUUAAUCACAAUUUAUCUCAUUUACUUUUGCAUUCAAGACAUUAUGCAUGCUUAGCAACAAUUGAAUUUAAUAUAAUUAUACCCGAAUAAUUAUUUCAUAAUUUUCGUUGCAAGCAGACCGCAGAUUCUCAUGGAAAACAAAAGUUCUGUGCACCAACCGCAGCCAGCAAAUGCUAAACGCGAACCAACUUUUAAUAACUUUAAUAAGUUGGAAAUAAUGCAAAACUAAAUAAACAUCGAUUUUCAUUUCGAUUGUUCCGUA